GCAAACUUGGUCAUUUAGAGGAAGUAAAAGUCAUAACAAGGUUUCCGUAGGUGAACCUGCGGAAGGAUCAUUAAUGAUGCCCUCGAAGUCUUUGGACUGGUAGGGUUUGUGUCGGUCUCUUCGGAGUCGACCUUAUCUCACACACCGUGAACUGUGGCUUCGGCCAUUUACACAAACUGUUAGUAAUGAAUGUAAAAUCAUAACAAACAUAAAACUUUUAACAACGGAUCUCUUGGCUCUCGCAUCGAUGAAGAACGCAGC
RNAcentral lists this unclassified non-coding RNA (261 nucleotides) under uncultured fungus. RNAcentral's name for it is "partial contains small subunit ribosomal RNA, internal transcribed spacer 1, and 5.8S ribosomal RNA". The stretch from base 1 to 73 matches the Rfam family "Eukaryotic small subunit ribosomal RNA", at positions 1759 to 1831 of the family's 1831-position model. The record is from RNAcentral. Lineage: Eukaryota; Fungi.